UACGUAGGGUGCAAGCGUUGUCCGGAAUUAUUGGGCGUAAAGAGCGUGUAGGCGGCCCGAUUAGUCCGCUGUGAAAGUCCAGGGCUCAACCCUGGAAUGCCGGUGGAUACUGUCGGGCUAGAGUCCGGAAGGGGCGAGUGGAAUUCCUGGUGUAGCGGUGAAAUGCGUAGAUAUCGUAAGGAAGACCAGUGGCGAAGGCGGGUCUCUGGACAGUUCCUGACGCUGAGGCACGAAGGCCAGGGGAGCAAACGGG
This 253-nucleotide ribosomal RNA is filed under the name uncultured bacterium. RNAcentral's name for it is "partial 16S ribosomal RNA". It matches the Rfam family "Bacterial small subunit ribosomal RNA", at positions 524 to 776 of the family's 1533-position model. The record is from RNAcentral.